GCUGGGCAUGGUGGUAUGUGCCUGUAGUCCCAGCUACUCAGGAGGCUGAGGCAGGAGGAUUGCUUGAGCCUGGGAGGCUGAGGCUGCAGUGAGCUAUGAUCAGUACCACUGCACUCCAGCCCGGGCAACAGAGCGAGACCCUGUGUCAA
This 149-nucleotide small RNA is filed under the name Macaca fascicularis (crab-eating macaque). Its description in RNAcentral is "Metazoan signal recognition particle RNA (ENSMFAG00000048984.1)". The record is from Rfam by way of RNAcentral. Lineage: Eukaryota; Metazoa; Chordata; Mammalia; Primates; Cercopithecidae.